GCAGAAUAGACAGAAUUUAUUUUUUCUUUUCCUUCUUCAUUCAGAUCACACAGAUUAAAACGGAGACACUCCAUAUCAGAUCACCAUUUUUUUCACAAUAAAUACACAUGAUACAUAUCAGCCGAUUCACACACAUCUUUAACAUAUACAUGCUCUAACAUAACCAAAAAAAAAUAAAAUCAGUAGUUUCUUUUUCCCCCUCCAUCAGAUCCGGCGAACACCACCGGAUUUUGACCACUAUCACUAUAUUAACCUCUCUCACUUUUCCCCUUUGAUCUCACGCGCCACCACUCACUCUACCAAAAAACACCACAAACCACCACAACCAACUAUCCGUCCAGCUUUCCCUCUCUUUUUAUCCCUCUCCUCCAUCGCUGCCUCGCCGAAAGUGAUGACUGGUGAGUUUCAGCCGAAUCACCAGUGAGCUGCGCUGCCUGUUUCCUAUUUCCAUUCAUCUUAUUCGCUAACUCCCCGGAGUUGAUGACCGGCGAGUUUCGGCCAUCACAGUAUAACCAGCCGCCCCCUUAUUCUUUUUUGCAUCAUUUUACCGCCUGCAGCACCAACCUGCCACUACUCCGGCGAGCACAACCACGCACCACCGGUAUUGUCCCUCUCUUUUCCGCUGCAACACCGGAAACCAUGGAGUUUUCUCCGGUAUUAUCACCCCUAAAUAUUAGAUCUAUAAAAAAUGGUGUUUUCUUCUCUUAUUUUUGCUUACCAUGUUAUUGUUCUGAUAUUUUUUUUUUGUUGGACAGAAUACUGCAGUUUGGCUAUAAUUGCAUUUGUUUUAUGUUCCAAGUGGGUCAUUAGACCAAAAACUUUAUUCUCUGAUUACUAUUUCUGAUUGUUCUGGAUUUCUCCACUGUAUUUAUUUAUUACACUGAUAAUGAAUAAGAUUAACAAUUGACCAAUGAAAAAUUAUUAUUAAUUUUGAGGCCUCCGUAAAUAAAAGACGGACUAUUAUGUAUACAUAUACGUAAUAAAAUAAAUAUUUUGGGUGAUGACAAACUUUUAUAACAUCACGACAACACAAAGAAUUUUAUGAUUCAUGUCUUGGCAAGGCGAUUUAGGAUAGUCGAUUAGUCGAGCAACCAUUUCGCAGCCAUGGAGAGUUUAAAACUCAAUCCGAGCCCACACGUAUUUAAAAUUUAAUUUGAGCUACUUUUUAAUGAAAAUUACAUUUUGUACAUAUCUUUUUUUUUUUUUUAUAAUUAUUUAUUUAUUACUAACAUUUUUUUACAAGUGUUUGUACAGGUUAUUUGAAAUACUCAUCGAGAGUUGCAUUCAAAGAGCUCUUUUAAUUUUGUAUUGUAUUUUAUAUUCUUAUAUUUGUACAAAUAUCAUUAUAGUGAAAACUUUAUUUUUUGGGGCGUUGGGCGAAGGUGUUCUUUAUUUAUACAAUUAUUAUCAUGCGUUUAGGCAAAUUCAAGCCGUUAAUAUUUAUGUUAAAAAAUUUAAUUCAUUUAGAUAUUUAAAUCAGUUAAUUGAUACAUUGGGUUGUAGCAUAGUCUUUUCUUUAACAUAAUUUUUUAUGAUGUUUUUUACCUUUUUGUGAUUCUCUACACAUGUUAUUUAAAAUGUUAAUAUAUACAUUAAAUCUGUUUAAAUAAUUAACAAAAAAAUGAUUUAU
RNAcentral lists this long non-coding RNA (1630 nucleotides) under Capsicum annuum. RNAcentral describes it as "long non-coding RNA (CANN_LNC002075)". The record is from RNAcentral. Lineage: Eukaryota; Viridiplantae; Streptophyta; Magnoliopsida; Solanales; Solanaceae.